GGGUUGUAAACCUCUUUCAGUAGGGAAGAAGCGAGAGUGACGGUACCUGCAGAAGAAGCGCCGGCUAACUACGUGCCAGCAGCCGCGGUAAUACGUAGGGCGCAAGCGUUGUCCGGAAUUAUUGGGCGUAAAGAGCUCGUAGGCGGUUUGUCGCGUCUGCUGUGAAAGCCCGGGGCUCAACCCCGGGUCUGCAGUGGGUACGGGCAGACUAGAGUGCAGUAGGGGAGACUGGAAUUCCUGGUGUAGCGGUGAAAUGCGCAGAUAUCAGGAGGAACACCGAUGGCGAAGGCAGGUCUCUGGGCUGUUACUGACGCUGAGGAGCGAAAGCAUGGGGAGCGAACAGGAUUAGAUACCCUGGUAGUCCAUGCCGUAAACGUUGGGCACUAGGUGUGGGGGACAUUCCACGUUUUCCGCGCCGUAGCUAACGCAUUAAGUGCCCCGCCUGGGGAGUACGGCCGCAAGGCUAAAACUCAAAGGAAUUGACGGGGG
This 489-nucleotide ribosomal RNA is filed under the name Kocuria rosea subsp. polaris. RNAcentral describes it as "bacterial SSU rRNA". It matches the Rfam family "Bacterial small subunit ribosomal RNA", at positions 420 to 919 of the family's 1533-position model. The record is from RNAcentral. Lineage: Bacteria; Bacillati; Actinomycetota; Actinomycetes; Micrococcales; Micrococcaceae.